UGCUUGAUCAAAUGGAGUGUAUUGAAUGAGAUAUAUUUUAUUGAAGUGUCUCAUGCUGUCUAUAUUAAAUUAACUAUAUUAAUUUCUCCAAUAUUUGUCUAAUUAUUUUUAAAACUAAUCACACUUUGUGCUGUUAUACAUCCUCUGGCAGGCUGUUCCAUGUAUCCACCACUCUCAUUGUAAACAAGAAUUUCCUCAGAUCCAUGAUCUUGUUUUAAAUAAUUUCUAGUUGUGAUCACCUCUGUUGUCUUCUGAUAACUGGGAGAUCAGGAGUCCGCUCGACUAGCACAGGUGGCAGCUGUUAUCAACUAAGUCUUCCACGUUCAUAUGAAC
This is a long non-coding RNA of Thalassophryne amazonica, 333 nucleotides long. RefSeq lists it as uncharacterized. The record is from RefSeq and is a predicted model, not a curated record. Lineage: Eukaryota; Metazoa; Chordata; Actinopteri; Batrachoidiformes; Batrachoididae. The transcript is spliced from 3 exons.